AGAGAUGGCUGAGUGGUCGAAAGCAGCACAUUGCUAAUGUGCCGAGUCGUGUACGCGGCUCCGAGGGUUCGAAUCCCUCUCUCUCCGUACCA
RNAcentral lists this transfer RNA (92 nucleotides) under Picosynechococcus sp. PCC 7003. RNAcentral's name for it is "Synechococcus sp. PCC 7003 tRNA-Ser". It matches the Rfam family "tRNA". Rfam says of the family: Transfer RNA (tRNA) molecules are approximately 80 nucleotides in length. Their secondary structure includes four short double-helical elements and three loops (D, anti-codon, and T loops). Further hydrogen bonds mediate the characteristic L-shaped molecular structure. tRNAs have two regions of fundamental functional importance: the anti-codon, which is responsible for specific mRNA codon recognition, and the 3' end, to which the tRNAs corresponding amino acid is attached (by aminoacyl-tRNA synthetases). tRNAs cope with the degeneracy of the genetic code in two manners: having more than one tRNA (with a specific anti-codon) for a particular amino acid; and 'wobble' base-pairing, i.e. permitting non-standard base-pairing at the 3rd anti-codon position. The record is from RNAcentral. Lineage: Bacteria; Bacillati; Cyanobacteriota; Cyanophyceae; Chroococcales; Geminocystaceae.